This 410-nucleotide ribosomal RNA is filed under the name uncultured Gammaproteobacteria bacterium. Its description in RNAcentral is "bacterial SSU rRNA". It matches the Rfam family "Bacterial small subunit ribosomal RNA", at positions 370 to 779 of the family's 1533-position model. Lineage: Bacteria; Pseudomonadati; Pseudomonadota; Gammaproteobacteria. The record is from RNAcentral.
AAUGGGCGCAAGCCUGACCCAGCCAUGCCGCGUGCAGGAUGACGCCCUAUGGGUUGUAAACUGCUUUUAUAUAGGAAGAAAAUACUCUUGCGAGAGGAUCUGACGGUACUAUAUGAAUAAGGACCGGCUAACUCCGUGCCAGCAGCCGCGGUAAUACGGAGGGUUCAAGCGUUUUCCGGAUUUAUUGGGUUUAAAGAGUGCGUAGGUGGUUUAUUAAGUCAGUGGUGAAAUCUUGCAGCUCAACUGUAGAACUGCCAUUGAUACUGGUAAACUUGAGUUUGGUUUAGGCAAGCGGAAUUUAUGAUGUAGCGGUGAAAUGCAUAGAUAUCAUAAGGAACACCAAUAGCGAAGGCAGCUUACUGGACCACAACUGACACUGAGGCACGAAAGCGUGGGUAGCGAACAGGAUU